CGUAAAGAGCUUGUAGGCGGUCUGUCGCGUCUGCCGUGAAAAUCCGGGGCUCAACCCCGGACUUGCGGUGGGUACGGGCAGACUAGAGUGUGGUAGGGGAGACUGGAAUUCCUGGUGUAGCGGUGAAAUGCGCAGAUAUCAGGAGGAACACCGAUGGCGAAGGCAGGUCUCUGGGCCACUACUGACGCUGAGAAGCGAAAGCGUGGGGAGCGAACAGGAUUAGAUACCCUGGUAGUCCACGCCGUAAACGUUGGGAACUAGGUGUGGGUCUCAUUUCCACGAGAUCCGUGCCGCAGCUAACGCAUUAAGUUCCCCGCCUGGGGAGUACGGCCGCAAGGCUAAAACUCAAAGGAAUUGACGGGGGCCCGCACAAGCGGCGGAGCAUGUGGAUUAAUUCGAUGCAACGCGAAGAACCUUACCAAGGCUUGACAUAUACCGGAAACACUCAGAGAUGGGUGCCCCGCAAGGUCGGUAUACAGGUGGUGCAUGGUUGUCGUCAGCUCGUGUCGUGAGAUGUUGGGUUAAGUCCCGCAACGAGCGCAACCCUCGUUCUAUGUUGCCAGCGCGUAAUGGAGGUGGAUUCAUAGAAGACUGCGGGGGUCAGCUCGGAGGAAGGUGGGGAUGACGUCAAAUCAUCAUGCCCCAUUAUGUCUUGGGUUUCACACAUGAUACAAUGGCCGGAUACAAAGGGUGGGGAAUUGGCAAGAAUGGAGCGAAUCCCAAAAAACCGGUCUCAGUUCGGAUUGGGGUCUGCAACUCGACCCCAUGAAGUCGGAGUCGCUAGUAAUCGCAGAUCAGCAACGC
This 804-nucleotide ribosomal RNA is filed under the name uncultured bacterium. Its description in RNAcentral is "bacterial SSU rRNA". It matches the Rfam family "Bacterial small subunit ribosomal RNA", at positions 559 to 1357 of the family's 1533-position model. The record is from RNAcentral.